UGGGGAAUAUUGCACAAUGGGCGAAAGCCUGAUGCAGCGACGCCGCGUGAGGGAUGACGGCCUUCGGGUUGUAAACCUCUUUCAGUAGGGACGAAGCGCAAGUGACGGUACCUACAGAAGAAGCACCGGCCAACUACGUGCCAGCAGCCGCGGUAAUACGUAGGGUGCGAGCGUUGUCCGGAUUUACUGGGCGUAAAGAGCUCGUAGGCGGUUUGUCACGUCGUCUGUGAAAACCCGAGGCUUAACCUCGGGCCUGCAGGCGAUACGGGCAGACUUGAGUACUGUAGUGGAGACUGGAAUUCCUGGUGUAGCGGUGGAAUGAGCAGAUAUCAGGAGGAGCACCGGUGGCGAAGGCGGGUCUCUGGGCAGUAACUGACGCUGAGGAGCGAAAGCGUGGGUAGCGAACAGG
RNAcentral lists this ribosomal RNA (409 nucleotides) under bacterium. RNAcentral describes it as "partial 16S ribosomal RNA". It matches the Rfam family "Bacterial small subunit ribosomal RNA", at positions 355 to 776 of the family's 1533-position model. The record is from RNAcentral.